Electrophorus electricus (electric eel) is the source of this 575-nucleotide long non-coding RNA. RefSeq annotates it as encoded micropeptide. The record is from RefSeq and is a predicted model, not a curated record. NCBI's taxonomy places the organism in Eukaryota, Metazoa, Chordata, Actinopteri, Gymnotiformes, Gymnotidae.
UCCGUAGAAGCGUGUCACGUGAGCCACGCAGCCCAGCCCACGUGCCUGCGCGCGUCGCGCUGAGCUCGUGCUCGCUGCGGAGGUGAACAUGGCCGAGGUGUCCGAUCGCACGUUACGGGUCGUCGCGCUGAUCUCAUUCGCCACGGGCUUCCUCGCGGGCUGGCAGGCCAACCGCGUGCGGAGGAGGUUUCUGGACUGGCGGAAGAAACGUCUGCAGGACAAACUGACGGAGACGCAGAAGAAGCUGGAUCUGGCGUAGGCCUCGAGGACUGGCGCGGGAGCGUGCCUCUCCGGUAUAAAGUGACGCGCGGGCGAGUCGGGCUCCCGUUUCCGCUCCCAGAGCUCUGACCCGGGAUGGGAAGGCACUCCGAGAAUGAGCCACCCGCCCCGUGUCCUGCUGGCAGGUCUGAACACUGGACGUCGGAGUGGAGCAGCUGCGAUACUUUAAACCUCCAGACGUUUCCACAGUGGUGGACGAUGGUGUAUGUUGAACAUGUGUGCGUGUUUAACAGGUUGUUGUCCGUAUCCUUGUUCUGUUACUGUUGGAAUAAAAGAGAAUACUUUGCUAAUCUUAA